GUGUGGCCUGGGAUUUCUGGUGUGGAACAGACGUCCACCUGCGUUUCUGUUUCUGGACAUCAAACAUUGAAGCUCUUUUAUCUGCCAUCAGCUCUUUUCUUCUCUGUUUGUUCUGCAGAGGAAAUCUGAUCAGCUGAUUGUUGACGCCUCCCCCCAUAACCCCCUCGCCUCAUCCCCUCUGGUCCCUCAGACUUCACUCUCUCUAAGGAGCUCAAAGGGAACACAUAAUCAACACAGAGCAGUUUCUUCGCAUCCAAAGCCCACCAGGAUCAAGUUGACGAUGGUGGGCACUGUGGUAAGGUUGAUGGGAAAUGUUUCAGUGUCAAAUCUGACUCGUCCCAAGUUCAUCAUGAAAGAAACAACAAGGAUGAUUUACAGCAAACCUCCAAAGAACAACAUCGGAGCUGGGGUGAGUCUAAAAAACUACUAAUUAGCUAACUAUAACCAGUAACACAACUAGCGCACCAGUUAACUAACUCACUAACCAACUAACUAGCCUACUAACCAAAAGAAGAGGAAAGAAAUGAAUAUAUAUGAACACAUUCAUGUCUGGGAAGGAGUAGUGAAAGAAAAUCCUUAUUUGCUAACCUGCUACUGUUUCCAAAAACAUCUCAGAGUGAAAAAGGGUCAUAUGACAGUUAGCAGCCAGCAUCUGUUUUAAACUCAACUGUCAUCAAACAAGUAAAGACUUCCUGCAAAUUUAAUAUUGACUUUUAUUUAAAAGUCUUGUUAGGAUUUGAUAAAAUGCAGAAUAUAAAACAAAACAAAGAAGAGUUCUGAUUGGUUGUUUAAUUUCAGGGAGAGCUCUGGUUGGUUAUAUAAGAAGAAAAUGAGCUGGGUAGGCUAGAUUGAAAAGAUAAGAGCACUUAUUGGUUAUGAAAUAAGAUAAAUUGAUCUGAUUGGUUACAUAUAUAAAAAAGAGAUCUAAUUUGUUGUUUUUAAUAAAAAGAAGAGCUCUGAUUGAUUAUAUAAUUAAAGCAAGAGCUUUGAUUGCCUAAACAAUCAAUAGAUAAGAAUUUUUUUGUUAUGAUGUAACAGCACUCUCAUUGGUUCAAAGUAAAAUAAAGAGCUCUGAUUGGUUAUACAAUAAAAGCAAGUUCAAGUACUUGGCUGUCUAAUCAAAAUAAAGAGCUUAUAUUAGUUAAAAAAAUAGUUUUGAUUGAUUAUAUGAUUUAAAAAAAGGAGAGUUCUGAUUGGAUGUUCUUUAUGUCUGACAGCAAAGCCUCUUCAUCAUGUCGGUGUUUGCGGUUGCUAUGUUGACCCCCGCUGCGUGGAUUCUUCAUCACCUGCCAGAGUACCGCCAGCGGUACAGACAGAGCCCGAAGACCUGAACGCCUUUAUCUUCUUUAUCCUGGUCAUCACCAUCAUGUUCAUCUUUGUCCAACUCAUCAUCCUGGUCUUUUUCUGUUUCUUCAUCGUCCUUUUCAUCUUCAACACAAACCGAUAGACUUUUUAUUGUCAAACUUUCAGAAUAAUAAAUACUUUGAUAUCUUAAUCUGUUAAUAUAAUCUUGAAUAUUGGUAAAAUUAUUUCAUUUCUUUAAAAAAAAAAAAAACUUCUUUUCGUGUUUUAGUCAAAAUAAAAACAUUUUCAAAAUAAAAAUUGGGAUUAUUAUUUUUUUUCCUAUUUGUAUAUUUAUUUAUUUUGCACCAAAUUACAGAAAAAUACAAAAUACUCACAAUACAUGACAAAUUUGACUGUCAAAAGUUAGCAGGAUGAGAAAGACUUGAAAAGACUGCUUUGUUCAUAGAGGGUGCCAAAUUAAGUUACUUACAGGAGCUUUAAACACAGAAAUGAUGUGGAACCUGAUCAUGGGUGCAGUGAUAAAUGCUUUUUCUACCUGUCUGAUUCUUUCAGGAUAUAUUGAUUUUUGAUUUACUCCUGUGGUACUGAGGGCAUCCACUGCUCCAUCCACCCUUUUAACUUCUAGUAAUAUCCCUAAGACUGACAUAGAUAUACAGAGAUUAAAAUCAAAUGCAGUUAUAAACAAAUGUUUAGAAAUAGCCACAUUGAAACACAAAGAGACUAUUGGAAAUUAGCCAAUCAUGGUUCAGGAUUCCAGGUCAUCCAAUCAGAUCAGAUCUGAUCAAAUAUACACCAACCUGACAGCACCAACACCCGUUAUGUGGACACCAACUCUUUGGCAGCUCUAACACACAUGAAGUUCACCCUCACUGUCUCAUAUAAUUUAAAUCUUAUUGAUAAUCAAACCUCCUGUUCAAAACUUUCCCUACAAAAUAAAAGCCCUGCCUUUGUGUCUUUUAAUUUGUUAAGAAGAUGCUCUUCUUCUGUGGCCCUGCAGUAUAUACAAACAGGAAGUGUUUGUGUUUUUAAAUUAAGCCCCAGUUUGUGUUUGGACAGGAAAUGUUUUUUUUUUAUGUUUGUUUAGUCAGUCCUGCAGGACUUAAUGACUUCCUGUCUGAGAACAUCAGUUCCCACGGAGACAAUGAGGCAUGAGAUGGAGAAAACUGUCAUCUGCGUCACGAUGAUGGAGCUCUGUUCUGUGAUCACUGCAGUUGGUUUGGUUGAACUUGUAACUUUUACAGUGCAUUAUUGAGGUAUUCAACCUUACUGAUUAUUUACUUCAAUGUAUACUCUGCUUCUUCACUGUUGUCUUGAUAAUUUACUUUUUUAUUAGCUCUAUGCUUUAUAACCUGUUUGUUAAAGCGUUACAUAACAGGAAGUAUAAUAAUUUCAGUAGUGGUAAUAAUUCCAAUAAAGUUGGGAUGUUUGUGUAAAACAUGAAUAAUGUCUUA
Molecule: long non-coding RNA, 2756 nt
Filed under: Xyrichtys novacula (pearly razorfish)
Lineage: Eukaryota; Metazoa; Chordata; Actinopteri; Labriformes; Labridae
Source: RNAcentral